AUUGAACGCUGGCGGCAGGCCUAACACAUGCAAGUCGAACGGUAACAGGAAGCAGCUUGCUGCUUUGCUGACGAGUGGCGGACGGGUGAGUAAUGUCUGGGAAACUGCUCGAUGGAGGGGGAUAACUACUGGAAACGGUAGCUAAUACCGCAUAACGUCGCAAGACCAAAGAGGGGGACCUUAGGGCCUCUUGCCAUCGGAUGUGCCCAGAUGGGAUUAGCUAGUAGGUGGGGUAACGGCUCACCUAGGCGACGAUCCCUAGCUGGUCUGAGAGGAUGACCGGCCACACUGGAACUGAGACACGGUCCAGACUCCUACGGGAGGCAGCAGUGGGGAAUAUUGCGCAAUGGGCGCAAGCCUGAUGCAGCCAUGCCGCGUGUAUGAAGAAGGCCUUCGGGUUGUAAAGUACUUUCAGCGGGGAGGAAGGGAGUAAAGUUAAUACCUUUGCUCAUUGACGUUACCCGCAGAAGAAGCACCGGCUAACUCCGUG
Molecule: ribosomal RNA, 490 nt
Filed under: uncultured bacterium
Lineage: Bacteria
Description: partial 16S ribosomal RNA
Rfam family: Bacterial small subunit ribosomal RNA
Source: RNAcentral